Spodoptera litura is the source of this 333-nucleotide long non-coding RNA. RefSeq lists it as uncharacterized. Lineage: Eukaryota; Metazoa; Arthropoda; Insecta; Lepidoptera; Noctuidae. The record is from RefSeq and is a predicted model, not a curated record.
CAGACGUGGGUCAUAAUUUCACAAAAAAUCAAAUUAAUUAUUAAGUAAAAACAUCCAGAAUUUUAGGUUCGUGUUUCCACGUUACUAACUGUGAUAUUGGACAAUUUAAAAAGAUAUUCCUCUGACACCUAAGGUCAAGAAGAUAAAUUUUGGCUGCCUCGACCGGAAUGUCGUCGAGAACCUUCCAUAGAAGCGGCCCCAGGGAGGAGCGGAGUUUCAUUACAGAUGCUAUUAUGCUGGCAGUGUGAUAGUUAUUGUAGACUAUUCAAAGAGUUUCUUGAUUGUUAACUUUGGUACAAAUACAUACAUUAUAUGUCAUGUGAAUACAAUGUA